AACGUGAAGAAUUCUUGAUCUAAUGGUUGAUAUUGAAGUUUCAUUAAGGAUAAAAUCGUAAUUUUGAUACAUUUGUCCCACAAUAGAUUAGUUUUGGUGGUUGUAGAUUUUUUUUUUGUCCUUUGUCCCAUAACAGAUCACGAUCCGGUUUUGGUUCAACACGCACACAGCCUAACUGAUUUAAUCACAUCGGGUUGAAGCUGAACUAGAGGAAAGGGAAAUUAUACUUUCUCGUUCUCUCUUGCUUUUUGGUCGUUUCAUGGAUAUUUUUUGGGUUGGCGGAUAAGAUCUUACUCAGGCGGCUAAUCUCUGGGAGAGUAAAGUUGAAAAGAAUAGAAAAGAGAAGCAUAGGAAUUGGAGUUUGGCUGUACAAGACAAAUCUCACCUUUGACCAGAAAUGGUGAACCACGCUAGUGUGAUCAGAAAAAAACAUAAAUUUACUCCAGAAAUACUUAGCCAUCCCCGCUAGUAUGACAAGAAGAAGUGUGUGUUUACCAAAAACAUGCGAUUAUUGUUCAUCAGCAAUGAGAGCCACUCAUUUGUUAGUUAAACAUAUGUUUUAUAUGCUGUUUAGUUACUUAGCUAGUUUCUUUGUUUCUUGUAUAUUAUAGAUGUUAGAACAUUUAAACUAAAUGGGUUUAAUGAAAAUUGUGAAAAGAAAUGGCCAAUGAGCCAGUGUAAUUUAAGCCUAAUGGCAUAAGUUAAUGAGGAACAUGAGAACUUAUCCUA
This is a long non-coding RNA of Raphanus sativus (radish), 729 nucleotides long. RefSeq lists it as uncharacterized. The transcript is spliced from 2 exons. The record is from RefSeq and is a predicted model, not a curated record. NCBI's taxonomy places the organism in Eukaryota, Viridiplantae, Streptophyta, Magnoliopsida, Brassicales, Brassicaceae.